AAGUACAGCAGUAGUCGUCAGUUUUUCGCACAACAAUGAUAACGAUGGGUAGCUCCAAAGUGCAAGGAAAGGAGGGGCAAGUGUACGUGUGAUUCCACCCUACCUUUCCGACGCGGACCCCCUCUUAAUAGUACGGCUCUCCUACGACUCAACUCCACCAAAGAGAAACGUAGAACAACGACGGCUUCACUAGUCUCCGAGGGGCACCGAAUCGUCUUGUGCCUAAUGAAGAAGUAUCUGUGGGACUCAAGGCACACGAUUAGUCCGCACGAGUAUUGUCAUCAAUCACCAAAACACUUAGGGAUAAAUAUGCCCUUACAAUCUCCGCCUUUUUGGUGUAUUGAGGACAACACGGGAUUUGCACAUAGAUAAGAUAUGUUUAAAGCAGUGGCAAACCCCACUCCUCUAAAAUAUAGAUGGGGCUCCCCCUAGAUAUGUGCACUAUAUAUGAAUGCUUUGGACUGCAUGGCACACAAACUAGGAUCAACACUCCCCCUAUAUUUUAGAGACCAAGACAUGAUAAUAAGCCUAGCAUAGCAUGAAAGAAGCACAAAAUAACACAAGCUAGCUAGGAUAGAUAGAGUGCAUAUGUCUUACACCAUAUGAGAUAAGAUAACCAAGGUUCAAAUGAUAAAAGCAGCAAAGAGUUCAACUAGCAAACACACAAACUCGCAAAUCCAAAUCCCUACACUCUCUCCCCCUUUGGCAUCGAGACGCCAAAAAGGCAGAGAGGACACCUAAACACACAAGAGGUGGCUCAAGCAGAGAAACUGUCCCACUCCUCUUCGUCAGACUCCUCCGCAGCUGGAAUGGACUCCUCGGCCUCCUCCUCAGAAUCAGUCCACUUGAAUCCUUGCUUCUCCAUCCACUCGGUCUCAGGAGUGAUGCGCUCCUCAGACCCGCCAGACACAUCCUCGCCAUAGAGCUUCAAGAUCUUGUUGUGCCGGCGACGACUCUCCUUGGACUCCACGUGAGCCCUGUACUGUCCCUUGGCUUGCAUGCAGAAAAGUGACUUCAUCUUAUCCUUCAACCUCUUGGCCCAGGAUGGCCUAGAGUCACUCUGAGUAGGCCUAGAAGAACGGCCCCCAGCAACAUCCUCAGCUCCAGCAGCAUCCUCAUCAACAGCAGCAGCCCUAGCAGCAGACGCCUCAGCACGAGUAGCGGUGUUGGCCCAGUUGGGUUUGACCCUCAGACAAAUGGGCUCAUGGUGAAUCCAGUCUGGAGCCAGGAACUCCUCCGCGGGGUACAUUUUCUCCCAAGUCUUCGAAAUCAGCAGAAACAGGUAGGGUCCAUAAAUAGGCACCUUGCGGUUGAACACAGCAAACCGAAGCUCGCACCACAUGAUGUGAGAGACAUCAAGUGGCUGAGUCUGAGACGACCGAGCCUCCUCGCACAGGAGCAUCAUGUCCACCAUGUAGGCAUGAACCUUGUCUUUGUCACCGAUGCGUGGGAACAGAGAGUUGCGGAAGAUGCGGUACAUGAUAUCCAGAAACGGGUUGAGAACCGAGACAAUCUUGCCAGUGGCGAGCUUCUUCUCAACCAUGAACGGAGUGAGCUUGUCCUUGUCAGCAGAGUCAGUAUUGCCGUGAGGGCGAACACCAACAGGAGUGUCAAGUCCAUCAUCAGCAACUUGAAGCAAAUCCAUGAACUCCUUCCAGGUAGCAGACAGCUGGCGGCCAUUGGUCAUCCAUGUCAUCCUCCUCUCAUCAUUGGUGUGAAAGUACACUGAGGCAAAGAACUGACAAAUGAUCUCAGGAUCAUAGUCCAUGUGGAACGAGAUCACAUGCUCAAUUCCAAACUGCUCCACCAAGUCCAGAGCCUCCCCAAAGUAGUCGCGAAACUUGUCCUUCCUCAUGUGGUGCAUCUCAAUCCACUUUACCUCUACAUAGGUAUUCUGCUUGUUCUUGAUGACAUCCAAGUAGAUCUGGGUUUGAGUCUUGUUCCAGAACAGUUCACAUCCUCUGAUAGUGGAGCGUGGGGUCGCAUAUGGGUGAAGCUGCCUGAGACGGACAUACUCUUGAGCGCCUAUCUCAUCCAUGCCCCUGGCGGGCUCCUUGUGCUUGCUGGCGGUGGACUUGACAUUGCGCUUCGAUGCAGAUGAUCCCUCGGGAACUUCUCCUGGGUUGCGCAGACGCUUGGAACCAGUGUCACGAACGGGAUUGGCCCGGCGAGAGCCACCACCUAAAACACACACGCAAAGCACCAAAACAAGUCGAAAAGGAUCAAUGCAAAGGCUAAAAGACAACACAUGAAACCCAUAGAAGAUAAACGGGAAAGUUGGCAUGCGAUAGAUGUGAGCCAUGGUAGAACUGCCAUGGGGUGUGAUACUAAAGUCUUAGUACAGCUCCAGACGCGGUAGUACCGUGAGGGGUCACGGUAGUACCGUGGCUGGGGCAGUAGUAAGACGUUAGUACCGCACGGCGCGCGGUAGUACCGCGCCAUAGGGGCGGUAGUACCAUGGGAGCGGUAGUACCGCGCCCUACGGGCGGUAGUACCGCGUCGCGUCGGAUCAAGCAGGAUUUGAAUCUGAAAAAGACCCGCGAAGCCAUGGCGGUGCUACGGUGACCAGAUCUAGUGCAAGACAACAAUACAAGUAUAAAUCCUAUGCAAUACUACACUCCUUCAUCCUACUCUUGCAGAGAUCUAGCCGAGAAAUCUCAAGAACAUGCAAGCCUCCCCCAAAACCUAGAAGAACCAAAUACAAUCAACACGGAGAAGGUUUUGGGGAAAAACCUUGGUCCAUAGCAAGAGCACGUGGUGGGGAACGAUCCCACCAGACGGAAUCACGGGAGGGAAGCCGGUGGAGGAGAUCCGGCGACGAACGCCGGCUCCGUUCGUGAGCACGAGAGAGGAACGGGCGAUGUGGAGAGAAAGGGACAAAUGGGUAUGGGGGAGUUAGAACUCCCCCUGCCCGACCUUAUCCCCACGCGCCCGAACCGGCGCGGUAGUACCGCGGGUCAUCGCGGUAGUACCGCCCGGGCGGAAGUACCGCGCCGUGGCGGUAGUACCGCUCCAUCAGGCGGCCGUAAAAAAUUACUGCCGCUUGGGUGCGGUAGUACCAUGCUCCCAUCAGCAGUAGUACCGUGAUUGGCCACGGUAGUACCGUGGCCGACCGCGGUAGUACCGUGAGCUCACGCCACCAAGGGUUUCGAACAGGAGAGAAAACACGCCUAUGCACCGGAAAAACAGACACAACCCAAAGCAGCACAAAAAGCAAAGGAACAACGGUAAAACCCUAAGUGACAAGGUCUCUCGAGGAGAGAGGGCGGUGGCCGAAGCCACCUAUGUUUGAGUUGGAUGGUAUGGCACCGCGAAGAAUUAUCCUUGGGCCCAUGACCAAAACUCGUCUUUGAAGCACAAGUACCAUCAAAGAUGGCUAAUGUGAAAGAGGUGAUCUAUUUAUGCAUAAUGGGGGGAGGGAGAGUUCAUUGAGAGAACAACACUCCCCCUAUGUCCAUGCCUACAUCUAAACUAGACAACAAGUUGAGUGUGGUGGGGGGUGCACGGGUUCAAGUCACAUUGCUCAAAUCAAUGAUAUUUAGCUCAUGCCUUAACUCGCGAAAUCUUGCUUCAUCCAAUGGCUUCGUGAAAAUAUCUGCAAGGUUAUCAUGAGUGUUGACAUACUUGAGCUCGAUCUCCCCUCGCCUAAUGUGAUCCCGAAUGAAGUGAUACCGAAUCUCAAUGUGCUUCGUCUUGAAGUGUUGCACCGGGUUGAGGGAAAUCUUGAUGGCACUUUCAUUAUCACACCAAAGAGGCACUUUGUCACAAGUGACACCGUACUCCUUUAAAGUUUGCCUCAUCCAUAGGAGUUGAGCACAACAACUACCGGCCGCCACAUACUCCGCUUCGGUGGACGAGAGAGACACACAACUUUGCUUCUUGGAAGACCGACUUACCAAAGAGCAACCAAGAAAUUGACACCCUCCGGAAGUGGACUUCCUAUCCACUUUGUCUCCCGCCCAAUCGGAAUCCGUGAAACCUUCAAGCUUGAAGUUUGCUCCUCUUGGGUACCAUAAGCCAAAGUUUGGGGUAUGAGCCAAAUAUCGAAAGAUUUGUUUGACCGCCACAAAGUGACUUUCCUUUGGUGCGGCUUGAAAACGUGCACACAUCCCCACACUCAACAUGAUAUCCGGCCUAUAUGCACAAAGGUAAAGCAAGGAUCCAAUCAUGGAGCGAUAUACCUUUUGAUCCACCGCUUUACCAUUGGGAUCGAUGUCAAGUUGGCACUUGGUAGGCAUUGGUGUAGUAGCCGGCUUGACAUCACUUAGCUUGAAUCUUUUAAGCAUGUCUUGAGUAUAUUUGGCUUGGUUGAUGAAGGUUCCUUCUCUUCUUUGCUUGAUGUCGAAACCAAGGAAGAACUUCAACUCUCCCAUCGAAGACAUCUUAAACUUGGAGGUCAUGAGAGCGGCAAAUUCUUCAUUGAAAGCUUUGUUAGGGGAACCAAAGAUAAUAUCAUCAACAUAUAGUUGGCAUACAAACAACUCCCCGUUGACCUUCUUAGUAAAAAGAGUGGGGUCGAUUAGCCCUACUUCAAAACCACGAUCUUGUAGCAACUCGGUAAGGUGGUCAUACCACGCACGUGGGGCUUGUUUAAGGCCAUAGAGUGCCUUAUCGAGUUGAUACACGUGAUCCGGAAAGUAGGGAUCCUCGAACCCGGGGGGUUGCUUGACAUAGACCAACUCAUUAAUGGGACCAUUAAGAAAAGCACUUUUCACAUCCAUUAGUUGCAACUUAAAGUUGUGAUGGGAAGCAUAAGCAAUCAACAAACGAAUGGAUUCAAGACGAGCAACAGGAGCGAAGGUUUCACCGUAGUCGAUACCCUCGACUUGGGAGUAGCCUUGUGCUACCAAUCUUGCCUUGUUGCGAAUGAUGUUCCCAUGGGCAUCUUGCUUGUUCUUGAAGAUCCACUUGGUCCCAAUGACAUUGUGGUUCCUGGAUGGUCUUGGCACCAAUCUCCACACCUUGUUGUACUCGAAGUUGUUGAGUUCUUCAUGCAUGGCAUUGAGCCAAUCCGGGUCUUCGAGCGCCUCAUAGACCUUUUGGGGUUCAACACAAGAGACAAACGCGUGAUGUUCACAAUAGUUUGCCAAUUGUCUACGAGUGCUUACCCCUUUACGAAGGCUUCCAACCACAUUUUCCAUGAGAUGGCCUUGGUUUGUGAGCUUGGAAGCAAUCUUCGCGGCACGACGCUCUAAUUCCUCCUCGGGUGUGGAAGGAGGAGGGUUGACUUGAUGAUCUUGAGCGCCGUCUUGAGUUUGUUCUUGAUCUUGAGGUUGAUCUUGAUCUUGAACUAGCUCGAGGGGGAGAACUUGACCUUGGGCAUCAUUUAGUGGUUCAUCACCGUCUUGAGGUAGAUCUUGCCCUUGGUCUUGUUCACGAGGUUGAGGGCCUUCACGUUGUUCUUCGGAAGCGUGUGGGUCUUGAUGAGGUGAUGGCUCUACUUGAGUAGAGCAUUGUCCUUCUCCUUCGGCCACAAGGGGUUCCUCAAUGGGUAGGAUGUGACCAAUACCCAUUCUUCUUAUGGCUUGGGGAGGAAUUUCAUCACCUAUAUCACAAGUACCACUUUGCUCCACUUGGGAGCCGUUAUUUUCGUCAAACUCCACGUUACACGUCUCCUCAAUGAGUCCGGUGGACUUGUUGAGGACACGGUAAGCAUGAGAGUUUGUAGCAUAACCAACAAAUAUGCCCUCAUGAGCUCUAGCUUCAAAUUUAGACAACCGAACACCUUUCUUGAGAAUGAAACACUUACAACCGAACACCCGGAAGUACUUGAGGUUGGGCUUGUUGCCGGUGAGGAUCUCAUAAGGAGUCUUGUUCAAGCCUUUGCGAAGAUAGAGCCGAUUGGAUGCAUGACAUGCUGUGUUGAUGGCUUCGGCCCAAAAGUUGUAUGGAGACUUGAACUCCGCCAUCAUGGUCCUUGCCGCAUCCAUCAACGUCCGGUUCUUCCUCUCCGCAACACCAUUUUGUUGAGGGUUAUAAGGUGCCGCAUAUUGAUGCUUGAUCCCCUCGUCACUAAGAAACUCAUCCAAGGUGUAGUUCUUGAACUCGGUGCCGUUGUCGCUUCUUAUUGUCAAGAUCUUUGCAUCAUGUUGACGUUGAGCUUCAUUUGCAAAGUUGAUGACGGUUUGUUGGGUCUCACUCUUCCUCUUGAAGAAGUAUACCCAAGUAUAUCUUGAAUAAUCAUCCACAAUCACCAAGCAAUACUUUCUUCCUCCAAGACUAUCAAAAGAUGGAGGCCCAAAGAGAUCCAUGUGAAGGAGCUCCAAGGGUCUCUUCGAGUAGAUGAUGGAUGAGGGAGGGUGAGCCUUUUCAUGAAGCUUUCCUUCGAUACAAGCACUGCACGCACGAUCUUUGGCAAAACUCACAUUUGUUAGUCCACGAACAUCGUCCCCCUUGAGGAGACUUUGCAAAGAUCUCAUAUUGACGUGGGCCAAACGGCGAUGCCAAAGCCAUCCCACGUCAACUUUAGCCAUUAGGCAUGUCGCGGUCUUAGUGGGUUGCUCUGAAAAGUUAACCACAUAGAGACCGUUCUCGACAUGCCCAACAAAGGCUACUUUAAGAGUCUUGCUCCACAAGAGGGCCACGGUAUCAAUAUCAAAGAAUGUGGCAAAACCCAUGAGUGCAAGUUGACGAACGGAAAGUAAAUUGAAUGCAAGGGACUCAACAAGCAUGACUUUCUCGAUCGUUAGAUCAUGAGAAAUGACAACCUUGCCGAGACCCAAUACCUUAGAAUGUGAUGCAUCACCCCACUCGACAUUGGUGGGCAUAGAUGGAAUCUCUUGCACAUCCACCACCAAGUCCUUGCUCCCGGUCAUAUGAUUUGUUGCUCCACUAUCGAGCAACCAUGAUCCCCCACCGGAAGCAAACACCUACACGAGAUCAAUGCUUGGUUUUAGGUACCCAUUUAGUAAUGGGUCCUUUGAUGUUAGUAACAAGGGCCUUGGGAACCCAAAUAGACCAUUCAAUGUACUCAUAAGGAGAACCAACAAAUUUAGCAUAAACAUGUCCAUCACUAGCACGGCACAACACAUAUGAAGGGUUAAAGUCGCCGGCUUUGUUUGAGGAAACAUUCUUGCCCUUUUGAACAUCAACUUCCUUCACUUUAUCCUUCUUCUUCUUGGAAGCUCCGUCUCCCUCUUUCACAAAAGUUUGUUUGAGGGGAGGAGGACGAUUGGCCUUGUUGUUCUUCUUCUUCUUGCUCUUGGACUUGGGUGCAAACCCAAUUCCUUCUUUGCCCACAACUUCCUUUUGAUUGCUCAAAAGGUCGUUGAGGUUUUUCUCACCUUGAAUGCAAGUCACAAGGCCCUUCUCAAGUUGAUCCUUCAACUUAGCAUUUUCCUCCACAAGAUGCACAUGCUCACAACAAGGGUUAGUAGCACAUGCAUUAUCAAUUAAUACCAUAUGAGGAAAGGUGGCUUUUUCCUUGAUUAGCUUAACUUGGAGUUGAGCAUGAGACUCUUUGAGGCUAGCAUGAGUACCCUUUAAGACCUUGUGGGCCUUGUCAAGUAUCUCAAACUCCUCUUUGAGUCUAGCAUGAUCAACCCCAAGUUUAGCCUUCUCGGAGGGUAGCACACGAGACAUGACAAGAGCAUGAUCAAGAUCUUUCUUUAACUUAGCAUGGGCAUCAUUGUGUGACUCCUCAAGAGUCAAACGAUGCACACGCUCUUCCUCAAGAGCAUUAGAGAGAUCCGAUAUCUCAUCGGCAUAGUCACGACUAUGACCUUCCAUCUUGGAGAUGGUUUCUUCGUGAGCCUCGAUCAUGUCAUUGGCCUCACCAAGUUGUUCCAAGAGAGCAACAAAGUGCUUCUUGGACUUUCCCUUGAGCUUACUCAUGAAGGACUCUAAUUCAUUCACUUCCUCAUUAGACUCAACAUGUCCAUCAAUGCAAUCCUCCACGGAGGGAUUAGAAAUGAUGGUGGUUGUGAUGUUGGGGGUUACCUUGUUUGAAGCCUUCGCCAUGAGGCAUCUAGCAGUGAUGUUUUCGUUGGGUGAUUCGAAGAGAGACACCCGAGGAGUAGCAAUGGCAAUGGAUGCCAUGGCCGUUGCUUCUUCAUUCUCAUCAUCAUCGUCAUCCUCUUGGUAUUCUUCUUGAACCACCAACCCACGAGUGGGAGUCUUCUUGGCGAAGUUGUUCUUGUUGGGGACGGACUUGGCUUUGUCUUUCCGAAUGAACUUGCCACCAUUGUCUUCCCUCUUCUCGUAAGGACAAUCCGCAACGAAAUGGCUCACAUUGCCACAGUUGAAGCAAGUUCUAACUCGUUGCUUGCCCUUGACGCCACUUGAGUUAUUCUUGUUGAAGUUGGGUCUUGAGCUCUUCUUGCUCCAAAAUUGUCUUGAAGCAAGGGCCAUGUGCUCAUGGUAGUCGAACUUGGUGUCUUCGGGGUUGCUAUCCUCAUCUUCCACUUCUUCCUCUUCUUCGACAAUGACCUUGGCCUUCAAGGCAAGGUUAGGCUUCUUAGCUCUUUGAGAACGGAGCACCGCAUUUUCGGCGGUCUUGUCCAAGAUGCUCAUUGCAACGAACUCAUCCAACACUUCACUUGAGGUCAUGGUGUGGAAGUCCGGUCGUUGACGAAUGACGGAGGACAUGGCUUUGUUGUAGGGCAUCAUGGCCUUGAGGAACUUUCGCUUGAUCCAAUUGUCAUCCGUGUCCUUGCUUCCAUGAUCUCGAAGUGCCACCGCGAGUUUGGUUACUCUUCGAAAGAGCUCACGAGGUUCUUCAUCUUCUUUCAUUGCAAACUCGUCGGCUUCAUCUUGCACCACUUCAUAGUUGGACCGUUGAAUGCUAGCACUUCCACGAUAGAGGCCCCCAACACAUUUCCAUGCUUCUUUAGCCACGACAUGGGGUCGAAGGUGAGGGAGAUCUUCGGGAAGAAUUGCAUCUUGAAUGAUGAAGAGAGCACUCUCAUUGAAUUGAUUGUCCACGGCUUCUCGAGGGGUGAAGUUGCUUGGGUCAUGAGGAUAAAAACCUUCUUCAAUGACUCUCCAAAGGUUAGUGUUCACAUGUUUCAAAUGACGCUUAAAGCGAUACUUAGGAGGUGGACCGGCAUGAUUCAAAUGAGUGGAGGGGAUAGGCCCUCCAUAGACCGGGGGUUCCACAUGGGCAAAGAUGCCGGUGCCAUUUCUACCACUAGUAGAAGGACUCUUUUCAUUGUUAGCUUCCCCCUUAUCGUAGAAAGCAUCCGUCACCUUGUUAGUGGGAUCACCCACUUUCAUAGGUGCGGUAGAUACUUUAAGUCCCUCUAAGAAAUCAUUAAACAUGCUUUUAACCUCGGCCGUCAUGGAGGUUUUCAAUGUGUCCAAAGCCACAUUGAACUCCUCACGAGAGACCGAGGUUCCCCCUUCGGCCGAAGAUGAGAUGGGAUUCACACCGGAGUGUUCCUCCACACCAUCGUUGGUGUCAACCAUACUCUUCGGACGGUAAAGUCCUUAAUAAAGAGACGAGGCUCUGAUACCAAUUGAAAGGAUCGAUAUGGUUGACUAGAGGGGGGGGGUGAAUAGGCAACUAACAAUUUUAAGCUUUUUUUUUACCAAAUUAAACUUUGCAACAAAUAGGUUGUCUAGAUAUGCAACUAAGUGAGCAACCUAUAUGAUGCAAUAACAACUAGCACGCAAGCAAGCAAGAGAUGUAACAAUAAGUAAGCUUGCAAAAGUAAAGGCACGAAAUAACCAAGAGUGGAGACGGUGAAGACGAGGAUGUGUUACCGGAGUUCCUUCCUUUUAAGGGGAAGUACGUCUCCGUUAGAGCGGUGUGGAGGCACAAUGCUCCCCAAGAAGCCACUAGGGCCACCGUAUUCUCCUCACGCCCUCACACGAUGCGAGAUGCCGUGAUUCCACUAUUGGUGCCGUUGAAGGCGGCGACCGAACCUUUACAAGCAAGGUUGGGGCAAUCUCCACAACAAUCGGAGGCUCCCAACAACAACACCACCAUGAAGCUUCACCACAAUGGAGUAUGGCUUCGAGGUGACCUCAACCGUCUAGGGUGCUCAACACCCAAGAGUAACAAGAUCCGCAAGGGAUAAGUGGGGGAAUCAAAUAUCCUUUGGUGGAAGUGUAGAUCGGGCCCUUGUCACCCAAUCCCGAGCAAAUCAACAAGUUUGAUUGGCUAGGGAGAGAGAUCGAGCGAAAAUGGAGCUUGGAGCAACAAUGGAGCUUAGAGGUGGAAGAGGUAGUCAACUAGAGGUAGAAGACAUCCCUUAUAUAGUCGGGGAAAAGAUCCAACCGUUAUCCACUAGUUCUGCCCGCGACUCACGGUACUACCGCUCUAAGGGAGCGGUACUACCGCGACGACGCGCGGUACUACCGUGGGUGAUCAUGGUACUACCGUGGCAGCUGCACAGGCCGGAACAAGCCUGAGCUAGAAGCAGUACUACCGCUGGUGCGGUACUACCGCUCCCCCUUGCGGUACUACCACAAGGCAGGAGGGUCACGGCCUGGGAAGGGCGCGGACGAAAUAAAUUUCAUCCGUGUCUACUUCCGCAGAAACUAGGGUGGUGCAAAAACCCGACGCGGUACUACCGCCUGCAAGGCGCGGUACUACCGUGGUAGGCACGGAUGUAAAAAAUUACAUCCGUGCCUACUACCGCAACGAAGCGGUACUAGGCAGAAGGGCCACGAUACUACAACUCCAAAGGAGCGGUACUACCGUGAGCCCCCGCGGUACUACCGCGCAGGACGAGCGGUACUACCGUGGAUGGCGCGGAUGUAAAAAAUUACAUCCGCCCCUACUACCGCACCGGAGCGGCACUAGGCUAGAGUGCGGCGGUACUACCGCACCAGAGGAGCGGUACAACCGUGAGGGGCGCGGAUGUAAAAAAUUACAUCCGCCCCUACUACCGCACUGGAGCGGCACUAGGCCAAGGUACCGCGGUACUACCGCGCCAGAGGGGCGGUACUACCGUGACCUGUCGCGGUACUACCGCGUGUACUUGCGGUACUACCGCAAGUACAGCAGUAGUCGUCAGUUUUUCGCACAACAAUGAUAACGAUGGGUAGCUCCAAAGUGCAAGGAAAGGAGGGGCAAGUGUAUGUGUGAUUCCACCCUACCUUUCCGACGCGGACCCCCUCUUAAUAGUACGGCUCUCCUACGACUCAACUCCACCAAAGAGAAACGUAGAACAACGCCGGCUUCACUAGUCUCCGAGGGGCACCGAAUCGUCUUGUGCCUAAUGAAGAAGUAUCUGUGGGACUCAAGGCACACGAUUAGUCUGCACGAGUAUUGUCAUCAAUCACCAAAACACUUAGGGAUAAAUAUGCCCUUACA
This 11260-nucleotide long non-coding RNA is filed under the name Triticum aestivum (bread wheat). RNAcentral's name for it is "long non-coding RNA (TAES_LNC007694)". The record is from RNAcentral. Lineage: Eukaryota; Viridiplantae; Streptophyta; Magnoliopsida; Poales; Poaceae.